RNAcentral lists this ribosomal RNA (253 nucleotides) under uncultured bacterium. Its description in RNAcentral is "partial 16S ribosomal RNA". It matches the Rfam family "Bacterial small subunit ribosomal RNA", at positions 524 to 776 of the family's 1533-position model. The record is from RNAcentral.
UACAAAGGGGGCUAGCGUUGCUCGGAAUUACUGGGCGUAAAGGGAGCGUAGGCGGACAUUUAAGUCAGGGGUGAAAUCCCGCAGCUCAACUGCGGAACUGCCUUUGAUACUGGGUAUCUUGAGUAUGGAAGAGGUGAGUGGAAUUCCGAGUGUAGAGGUGAAAUUCGUAGAUAUUCGGAAGAACACCAGUGGCGAAGGCGACUCACUGGCUCAUUACUGACGCUGAGGCUCGAAAGCGUGGGGAGCAAACAGG